This 14632-nucleotide long non-coding RNA is filed under the name Malus domestica (apple). RNAcentral describes it as "long non-coding RNA (MDOM_LNC009931)". The record is from RNAcentral. Lineage: Eukaryota; Viridiplantae; Streptophyta; Magnoliopsida; Rosales; Rosaceae.
GAAAUUACAAGUAGCCCCAAAACUAUCGGUCUAAAAUCUUCAUAAGAAACCAAUGAAAUAAGUAAACUGCAAGAGAUCGAAGCAACAAAUAUGAUAAAUCUACCACUCCAUUGUGAUCAGGAUAAAAAAUCAUUAGCCGAUAAUUUUAAGACAACAAUCUGGCCAGAGGCAAAAUUCCACUUAAAAAGUUUUGGGACAAAACAAUGUGAAUCAGAAUCAGAACUAGUCUGGGUCUGUGACUAAUCGUGAUUGACUUAUGGCUGAACAACCAAAUCCGGUUCGAUUUCAAUGUAUUUCUCAACAACGUUAUGAACCAAUUCGGAAAUUACAUGCUAGCUUGAAAAGGCCUGUAAGGCAAGUAAAUUACUGAACAAGGUAGAAUGAGAAAUGUAGCAUGCAAUGGCUGAAAGAAGGAUGAAACAAUAUCUAAAACAACAAAAACCACAUCUGGAAAAACAUAUCUUGUGCUACAGUACUUGGACUCUGUUGUACCUACUGCACUACAUCGUUCCAGUUGAGUUGAGUAAGAGCGUCAUGAAAAAUGCCAAAGGAUGCUAAAAGAGUUAUAUAUGCCUAUUGGAAACACAACGUAUAUAGCAAGUUGACUCAACUACUAGAAGAGGAAAGGAGGUGGAGUUUGAAAAACUUACGUUGCUUAAUUCACUCCGACAGUAAAGCGGUGACGCAUUGCAUAGCUUUGGCAAAAGGUAGAUUCAUCAAAUUCUUGUAAUUCCUAAUCCCCAGCACUAUAAGGGAUGUAAGGUUACCCAACAAGUCUGGUAAAGUCUCCAGUCCCUCAAGUAGUUGAUAUAUAAACCAGUUAAAGAAAAGUGUUGAAUUUGAUGAGGCAGAGACUUGAGCUUUGGCCACCCUUUAAAAUGUAACAAUUCAUGCCGCAAUGAUCAACCUUGAACAUCAGGAAUGGAAUUGAGCUCCUCCCCGAACCUGCCAAUGGCGAAUUUUAUCAAUUUCGGGUUUGUAGACCUUUCCACCGAUUUCUUAAAUUUGCCAAAUUAUAAAAUCCCUAACUUAGCAUUGCAACUGAUGAUUCUUUACCUAAUUUCUGCAAUAAUGCAGGCAUUUAACAGUUCAUCAAGUUACUCAAGGGGAUAUGAAAUAGCAAUUCAAUAAUCAACUGUAUUCAAACCAUUGUUCAUCAGAUUAAAAAAAAAAUUGUUCAGAAAUCACAAGUAACCAUAAAAAUAUCAUCCGAAAAACUUUGUAAGAAUAAUAACAGACGGAAAGCAAUUGCAGUAAAUCUAUAUUUAUAUUAUCUGAACAUGGUUUUACAUGAUCACAAGUCUUGGCAUUACUCUUCCAAGUUUAUAACAAGAUUUGAAUACCAUGAUCGGAAAUUUAAUACCUUGUACAUCAGCACUUGGACAGAGUUUCCACUCAUUGAUUAUCCUGAAAACGGCCACAUCAUGCCAAAAGAAAUAUAGAUGCCAGUGGGAAACACACAACACAUAUAGUAAGUCAGAAGUCAACAGUACAUUGUAUUGAUCAAUUAGAAGAGGAGCAGGUGUGUGGUUUGAAAAGCUUACAUGACUUGAUUUCAAUGCAAAAGUUCGAGCCGUUUGGAUUUGUUUGUACAUAAAAUAUGGAAUACAAGUACUCUUGGAGAACUGUGUAGCCAUUCCCCUUAAAGUUCCAUCCCCUGAAUAUCAAACUGUACAUACUUUGGUGCCUAUCUACAAGAACAAGGGCGACGUACAAAAUUGCAUGAACUAUAGGGGUAUUAAGCUAAUGAGUCAUACAAUGAAGCUCUGGGAGAGAGUCAUUGAGCAUAGAUUGAGGCAAGAGACACGGGUUUCGGACAACCAAUUCGGGUUCAUGCCAGGGCGCUCAACCAUGGAGGCAAUCUAUCUCUUACGAAGAUUGAUGGAAAGAUAUAGAGAUGGGAAAAAGGAUUUACACAUGGUCUUUAUAGAUUUGGAAAAAGCGUAUGAUAGGGUCCCAAGAGACAUUCUUUGGAGAAUUUUAGAGAAGAAAGGAGUACGAGUAGCAUAUAUCCAAGCUAUAAAGGAUAUGUAUGAAGGAGCAAAGACUGCCGUAAGAACUCAUGAAGGACAAACCGAAAGCUUCCCCCAUAACUGUAGGAUUACAUCAAGGCUCAUCCUUAAGUCCUUACCUUUUUGCGUUGGUAAUGGAUGAGUUAACAGGACAUAUUCAAGAUGAUAUUCCUUGGUGUAUGCUUUUCGCAGACGAUAUAGUGUUGAUAGAUGAAACUCAGGAAGGGGUAAAUGCAAAGCUUAACCUUUGGAGAGAAGUGUUGGAAUCUAAAGGUCUUCGCCUAAGCCGAUCAAAGACAGAAUAUAUGGAGUGCAAGUUCAGUGCAAAUGGAGGCCAAAACGAGUUAGGGGUGAGGAUCGGAGAUCAAGAAAUACCAAAAAGCGACCGUUUUCGUUACCUAGGAUCUAUCUUGCAAAAGAACGGAUAAUUAGAUGGAGAUCUCAACCAUAGAAUACAAGCUGGAUGGAUGAAGUGGAAGAGUGCAUCCGGCGUGUUGUGUGACCGCCGUAUGCCACUUGAAGCUCAAGGGAAAAUUUUAUAGGACGGCAAUAAGGCCGGCGAUGCUGUAUGGCACAAAAAUGUUGGGCGGUGAAACAUCAACACGUACACAAAAAUGGGUGUAGCGGAGAUGAGGAUGCUUCGUUGGAUGUGUGGGCACACGAGAAAGGAUAAGAUUAGGAAUGAGGAUAUCCGGGGUAAAGUAGGAGUAGCCGAAAUUGAAGGAAAGAUGAGAGAGAAAAUCGGUUACGGUGGUUUGGACAUGUGCAAAGAAGGCCUACUGACGCUCCGAUUAGAAGAUGCGACUAUGGGACAGAGGUUCAGGGCCGAAGGGGUAGAGGAAGACCUAGGAAAACUUUGGAAGAGACUCUAAGAAAAGACUUAGAGUACUUGGAUCUAACGAAGGACAUGACACAGGAUCGAGCACAAUGGCGUUCUAAGAUUCAUAUAGCCGAUCCCACUCAGUGACUUGGAUUUUCCAAGUCUCCAAUCGAGAAGUUUUCCUCACUCGGGAAAUUAAGGGAACACUACCCCAACCUACAUGCUCCACUCAGAAAGCUUCAACAUACAAGCUUCAACAAAAGAAAAUUCAAAGAACUUAGCGAAGAAGGCUUUGGUGUAUUUAACACAAUACGUUGAAAUGAAGGAAAGCUUAUUUAUUGAUAUCCCCGAUCAGCUACAAAUAUGUACAUAUACAUGAGUCAAAAUAAACACACAAGACGGAGCCUUCACAAAGGUUGCUUAGGAGAAGUCUCAGCAGUCGGUAGAGCCCCAGAAAGAGAAGGCACCGGAGGGGGAUCAUUUGGAGUCUCAGUACUGGACAGAACCCUAGAAGGAGGAGGCAUCAGAGGUUGAUCAUUCGGAGCUUCAUUACGCGGUACAGCCCCAGAAGACGAAGGCAAUAAAUGCCUUUGGAACAAACCCACAAAUCUCUGAUGAUCAAGUAAAACCUGACCAUCAGUUUCCUUCAUCUGGUCAAGCUUCCUCUUCAUGUUUGUAGCAUAGUCAGGUGCGAGUCGGUGCAACUGUUUAUUCUCAUGCUUGAGCCCUCUAAUCUCCUGUUUGAGACUCAUCACUUCAGCCGCCAAGGAUUCAACUUGGCGGGUUCGAGCAAAUAGGCGUUGGGCCAUAUUAGACACAGAACCUGCACACUGAACACUGAGAGCCAGCGAAUCCUUAACAGCUAACUCAUCAGACCGUUUGGAAAGUAGUCUGUUAUCUUUGGGAGUGAGAAGGUUCCUGGCCACCACCGCAGCGGUCAUAUCAUUCUUCAUCACGGAAUCCCCAACGGUAAGAGGACCAGUAGGGGAGACGAAGGAUGGGCGCCAUAUGUUGUCUGGAGAAGGCGGGGCUGCCUCUUCAACAAGGUUCAAGUCAAAACAACGGUCGAAGGGGCCAGACAUUUUCAAAGGUGUUGAAGAGAGAAGAGGUCGGACAAAUCAAGAUCUUAGAAGUGCAAGAAUGAAGCUUCUACUGGUGGAGAUUCAAGUGUGCUUUGGAACUUAAUGUCAGCCUCUAUAAAAAUCUGCACUCGACGGAGCUUCAGAAAUCGAAGAGGCGCCUGCUCAGAAAUCGAAGAGGCGCCUGCUCAGAAAUCGAAGAGGCGUUUGCUUUCUCAAAAGCACGAGGGUUGAUCUCAGAAAUCGAAGAGGCGUUUGCUUUCUCAAAAGUUGGGCUGCUCAAAGACCACGAAGGCCGAUCUCAGAAAUCGAAGAGGCGCUCGCUUUCUCAAAAGCUGGGCUCCCCAGAGACCACGAGGGCCGAUCUCAGAAAUCGAAGAGGCACCUACUUUUCCAGCCUUGUCAGCACUCGUCACACGCACACUCAGCUUUGCAGAAAUUAUGAGCAUUCUGUCGAAGACUUCUGGGGAAGUAGAAAACACAUGAAUCUUACUGUUCAAUCACCCACUUCCCACACGCAACAAUAGCUCAUGGGUACCACAGAUAACUUUGCCAAAGUUCUCUGCCAAAGUUGAGCACGUGAAGCUUGCAGCUCCCACUACAUCGCUCUGACCAAGAAGGGUAAAAGAAUAGCAAAGAAACAGCACUAACAAAGUUUAGACCCAUAAAUUUUGAAGGUCUAGCUACCAUAUUAUUACCCACAAGGGUAAAGGAACAGUACCACUGCUGGAUAAUUGGAAAGUCCUUGUGUGUCAACCUCUGUGCUUCGUGGCAAGGUAGACUAGCAAACAUGCCCAACCUUUACUCACAUUCGAGAAAAACACUCCCAAUAAGAUUGCUUGCUCCAAAAUCGAAGAGGCACCGUCCUCCGAAUCUCGAGAGCCAGACUCCCAACAUGACUACUUUCUUAAAAAUCGAAGAGAGGGUAAAGGAACAGUACCAUUGCUGGAUAAUUGGAAAGUCCCUGUGUGUCAACCUCUGUGCUUCGUGGCAAGGUAGACUAGCAAACAUGCCCAACCUUUACUAACAUUCGAGAAAACACUCCCAACAAGAUUGCUUGCUCCAAAAUCGAAGAGGCACCGCCCUCCGAAUCUCGAGAGCCAGACUCCCAACGUGAUUACUUUCUCAAAAAUCGAAGAGACACUGCUCCCCGAAUCUUCGAGAGCCAGACCCCCAGCAUGAUUGCUUUCUCAAAAAUCGAUGAGGCAUCGUUCUCCGAAUCAAUCGAAGAGGCGCUCGCUUUCUCAAAAGCUGGGCUGCUCAGAGACCACGAGGGCCGAUCUCAGAAAUCGAAGAGGCACCUACUUUUCUAGCUUUGUCAGCACCUGUCACACGCACACUCAGCUUUGCAGAAAUUAUGGGCAUUCUGUCGAAGACUUCUGGUGAAGUAGAAAGCACAUGAAUCUUACUGUUCAAUCACCCACUUCCCACACGCAACAAUAGCUCAUGGGUACCACAGAUAACUUUGCCAAAGUUCUCUGCCAAAGUUGAGCACGUGAAGCUUGCAGCUCCCACUACAUCGCUCUGACCAAGAAAGGUAAAAGAAUAGCAAAGAAACAGCACUAACAAAGUUUAGACACAUAAAUUUUGAAGGUCUAGCUACCAUAUUAUUACCCACAAGGGUAAAGGAACAGUACCACUGCUGGAUAAUUGGAAAGUCCCUGUGUGUCAACCUCUGUGCUUCGUGGCAAGGUAGACUAGCAAACAUGCCCAACCUUUACUCACAUUUCGAGAAAACACUCCCAACAAGAUUGCUUGCUCCAAAAUCGAAGAGGCACCGUCCUCCGAAUCUCGAGAGCCAGACUCCCAACAUGACUACUUUCUCAAAAGCGAAGAGAGGGUAAAGGAACAGUACCAUUGCUGGAUAAUUGGAAAGUCUCUGUGUGUCAACCUUUGUGCUUCGUGGCAAGGUAGACUAGCAAACAUGCCCAACCUUUACUCACAUUCGAGACAACACUCCCAACAGGAUUGCUUGCUCCAAAAUCGAAGAGGCACCGCCCUCCGAAUCUCGAGAGCCAGACUCCCAACAUGAUUACUUCCUCAAAAAUCGAAGAGACACUACUCUACGAAUCUCGAGAGCCAGACCCCCAACAUGAUUGCUUUCUCAAAAAUCGAAGAGGCAUCGUUCUCCGAAUCUCGAGAGCCAGAUACCACAGACCACUUUUUCAAAGUGCUCUGACAGAGUUAAAACAUGUGAAACUGGCAGCUCCCACUACCGUGCUAUGACCAAACAGGGUAAAGGAAUAGCAUUACUACUUGUUUUUAGGAAGACUCCUAUAUAUGUCGACCUCCAUCCCCAACGGACAGGCAGACCUGCAAAAAUGCUCAACCCUUCAUCAUAUCUGAGAGGGCACUCCCAACGAAGCCUUUCGAAAUAUUCAGCUUUCUUUCCCCCCGAUAAUACCUCUGCAAACAAGCUAUACUAGAGCAAGAAUAUCUCAUAUCAUCAGGGUUAAAAGCAAGAGUAUCCCAUAUCAUGCUUUUUCCCUGUCUUUUCCUUUGGCCUUGUUUUUACCUGCAAGACAAGGAGAAAGAGAGCAAUCAGUCAGCACUUGGAAUCAAGCUUCCAGCCAGGAACUGACUGCCUGGAACCCCUUACCUGAUUACUUACCUGGCAUUGCUCUCGAGUACUCAUCUUCAACAUCUUAUGUUUCCAGGGAAGAUUCCGCAUCUGCUUGAGGAACAGAUAGGGCAAGUGCGAAGGAUACAAGGAAGCAUGUGGAGACAAGCGUAACAGCACACGUGCCGAUACACCCAUUACUCUGUCAAAAGCAAAAGUAUCCCAUAUCAGCAGGGUGGAACGUACUCUAGAUUUGAUGGACUUGUUUUGACCCUCAAAUUCUUCAGUCGGCCUUAUACUCUGGAGGAAACCAGAAAACCCUCCAGCUCAGUUCAAGAAUAAGCCUGUGGAAAGUUACUUCUUCAAAAGCAAAAGUAUCUCAUAUCAUCUCUUCUCAUUUUUCUUCUCUUUAUCCUUCAUGCUGCUGCAAGAUGGGGAGAAGGUGAACAAUCAGUCGGAGCUCUGAUUGCUUACCUUGUCUGUCACCUCUUUCAGCAGACCCCCUAGCUCGGCGACUUGGGGGACUCCUACUACAUGGUUUGUAUCGCGCUUGACCAAGCCUGAGAACUACAAGUAAGCUUCAAGUGAAAUUGAUACAUUACCUUGUGCAUCUCCACCAGUUAAAGAUACCACCCCUGGAUGGAGGAAGAGUACUUCCAGAGAAGAUGCCACAUCUACCUAUGAGACAGAUAAGGCAAGUCAAGACGACACCACACUCCGAUACUUAGAAGUUUCGUGAUUACGAGAUCAUUCUCCCACAAUAUUUCCUAAUGUCAUUUGUACUAAAUCAUUCACUUGUACUCACUAAAUGAGAGCUUGAACCUAUGUACUUGUGUAAACCCUUCACAAUUAAUGAGAACUCUUCUAUUCCGUGGACGUAGCCAAUCUGGGUGAACCACGUACAUCUUGUGUUUGCUUUCCUAUCUCUAUCCAUUUAUAUACUUAUCCACACUAAUGACCGGAGCAAUCUAGCGAAGAUCACAAAAAGCGACCGUUUUCGCUACCUAGGAUCUAUCUCGCAAGAGAACGGAGAAUUAGAUGGAGAUCUCAACCAUAGAAUACGAGCUGGAUGGAUGAAGUGUAAGAGUGCAUCCGGCGUGUUGUGUGACCGUCGUAGGCCACUGAAGCUCAAGGGAAAAUUUUAUAGGACGGCAAUAAGGCCAGCGAUGUUGUAUGGCACAGAAUGUUGGGCGGUGAAGCAUCAACACGUACACAAAAUGGGUGUAGCGGAGAUGAGGAUGCUUCGUGGGAUGUGUGGGCACACGAGAAAGGAUAAGAUUGGUAAUGAGGAUAUCCGAGGUAAAGUAGGAGUAGCCGAAAUUGUAGGAAAGAUGAGAGAAAAUCGGCUCCGAUGAUUUGGACAUGUGCAAAGAAGGCCGACUGACGCUCCGGUUCGAAGAUGUGACUACGGGACAGAGGUUCAGGGCCAAAGGGGUAGAGGAAGACCUAGGAAAACUUUGGAAGAGACUCUAAGAAAAGACUUAGAGUACUUGGAUCUAACGGAGGACAUGACACAAAACCGAGCGCAAUGGCGUUCUAGGAUUCAUAUAGCCGACCCCACUUAGUGGGAAAAGGCUUUGUUGUUGUUGUUGUUGUUGUUGUUGUACUAGUGGAGACAGAAUAAAAGAACAAAAAAGAAAAACAUACAACAUGAGCUCUGUAAUAUGAUUUCAAGAAUUUAAAAACUCACUAGUGAUAUUUGGAAUGUGAGAAAUCUUAGGCCAAUCUGUGCCGCUGUCCUCGGUGCAUCAUUCCUUUAGAUGGGGAUGACAUCCAGAAAUAUAGAGAGUUUGUAAGUUGGUGAGGUGUUGCAUAGCUUGGACACUAGGUAAGCUCUUCAGAUUAUUGCAAGAAAGAAUCCUCAGCUAUUUAAGGGAUGUAAGGCUACCCAACCAUUCCGGCACAGUCUCCACUCCGUCAAAUGAAAAUAAUGAAAGUUUCUUUUCUUAAUAAAUAACAAAACUGUGAAUAAUUUUACCUUGUCAAUAUCUCUGAUUGGACAUUUUCCUCUUAUGUACACAUGAUAGCCCGUGGAAGCUUCCACCCGCUUUAGGGAAUUGCCACAACCUAGAGAAGGGGUGAAUACAUAAGAGUAAGCAACACAGUGGAUCAAAAUGAAUUCUCAAUUGAGAAAGCCGCCUAAUGCAAAUAGAUGAAUUUAGAAAAAGUCAGUGGAUAACUGACCCAGGAAGAAACAAUGCCGUAGGCUGAUACGUAAAGAGUAUUUUGGCAGUGUUCAUGUCCACAAAAAAGUAAGCAACAUUGUGACUCAACCUGUGGAUAGAAGACCACCAUAAUUAACUCCCAAACUCCCCGGACAGCGUUGCACAUUCUAAUCCCACAUCAGGAACGAUACGAGUCUUCUGAGUGGAAUACUACUGGGUAUCUCUCAGGACCUUUAGGGAAACAUGAUUGAAGUUGAAGAAUGAUAUUGAUCCGCCUAUGAGCUUUGAUCGGAAUCCCAAUAUCCCUGUACAAAGAUAACACCAAAACAACUUAAAGAAAAAUAUAAACAACAAAUUUCAAUCUUUCUCACAUCUUGAAGAAACAUUCCAGUCAUGGUUCAACACUUAGAUUCACAAUAAGUACUCCCACGCCAUUAACUGAGAAACUCUUCAAGUCCUCUGGUACCUCGGAAUUUGGAAUUCUCGAUUGUCAAUUGAAGCUAAUGAAGAAAAUGCCAGUUGAGAAGAAUUACAUAACACAGUAUAAUAAAAUCACAAAGAGAACAAGUCUGGGCCUGUAGAACCAAAGGUAAUCCGCUGAAGGAUGAACAAUUAAGUCCCCUCAAAUUUGUUAGCAUCAUAUAUUUCUCAGCAACCUCGCGAGACAUUUGAGAAAUUACAUGCCCCAACUUGGUGCCAACAGCAAGUGAAAAGCUGCAAGAAAGAAAUCACUAUUGAGUUUUAACUUUCAAACUAAUUCUGUAUAGUAUUAGUAAAACAGAUAGCCUGAUAUGACCACAGCAGAAAAGCUUGCAUACUGUUUAAGUUGCAAUUUUGGCAACAGGAAUACCUCUCCUCUAGCAUUUUCGUUUCCUAUCCCAUAGAAUUUUAUAUCCUCAACAGAAUACCCUGCCACCGCUGAGUCAUAGCGAGUUCCAUAAAUGAACAAGCCCUCGAAGACUUUCAUGAGUAAUAUCAAGGUCCAGUGAACUUGCUGCAAAAUAAACAUUUCAUAUGGCUACUCUCAUAAUAAUCUCUCUUGAUAAUUUCAGCAAUAAUACAGGUACUCAACAGUUCAUCAAGUUACUCGAGCGAUAUCAAUUACUGACACAAAAUCAAUAGAAUUCAAAUCACUGUGCAUAUUACAAGUUGCCCCAAAACUAUGAGUCGAAAAUCUUCACAAGAAAGCAAUUACAAGAGUUCUAUAUAUUAUAUUAACGUCGUUAACCUGAAAACAAGUCUUGGGAUAAUAUAAACAAAUUUCCUCAUUGUGCAUGAACCAAUGGAAUAAGCAACCUGCAAGAGAUGGAAGCAACAAAUGUGGUAAAUCUACCACUGCCAUUGUGAUCAGAAUAAAAAGUCAUUAGCAUGUAAGGGAUGAAAGGAUGAAAUAAUAUCUAAAACAACAAACACCACAUUUCUGUAAAAAAAAAACAUAUCUUGUGCUUCAGUACCUGGACUCUGCUUGCACCUACUGCACUACAUCGUUCCCGUUGCGUAGUUUCAAUCCAAGUAUUGUCUCAGACCACAACUGAUCAUUUAAAAGAAAAGAGAGAAGGAUAAACAAAUUAUGUUAUACUAGUUUAAAUUUGAGUGUACUACUAGUGGAGACACGGAAUAAAAGAAGAAAAAUGAUAAACAUAUAACGUCAGCUCAGAAAUUUGAUUUCAAUAAUUUAAAAACCUUACUUCUGAAAUAUGGAAUGUGAGAAAUCUUAGGCCACUCUGUGCCGCUGUCCCUGCUGCAUCUUUCCUCUAAAAGGGGAUGACAUCCAUAAAUCCUUGGAGAUUGUAAGUUGGUGAGGCGUUGCAUAGCUUGGACACUUGGUAAAUUCAUCAGAUUCUUGCAAUCCCAAAUCCACAGCUCUUAAGGGAUGUAAGGCUACCCAACCAUUCUGGUAAAGUCUCCACUCCGUCAAUGCAGAAGUUGGAGCCAUGUGGAGUCGUUGUACAUACAACUGGAAUAAAAGUAAUCUUGGAGAACUGUGGCCUUGCACACCAUGAAAUUUGGUAAGGUGCUGCCUACCAUCGAUUCAACUGCUGUGUGACUUAAAAAGGAGAAGGAUAAACAAAUUUUGUUAUAGUACGUGCUUUGAAUUUUUGUGUAGUAAUAGUGGAGACACAGAAUAAAAAAACAAAAGAGAUAAACCUAUAACGUGAGCUCUGUAAUUUGAUUUCAAUAAUUUUAAAACAUACUUAGGAUAAGUGGAAUGUGAGAAAUCUUAGGUCAAUCUGUGCCAUUGUCCCUGGUGCAUCUUUGCUUUAGAAGGGGAUGACAUUCAUAAAUAGUCAGAGUAUGUAAGUUGGCUCGGCGUUGCAUAGCUUGGACACUAGGUAAAUUCAUCAGAUUCUUGCAAUCUUGAAUGUCCAUCUCUGUAAAGUAUGUAAGGUUACCCAACCAUUCUGGCAAUGUCUCCACUCUGUCAAAUUGAUAUAUCACCAAAAAUGUUAGAAGUGAGGUGUUGAAUUUGUUGAGGCGGAGACUUGAGCUUAGGCCAACCAUACAAGGCUAAAAAUCAGGGAAGGAAUCGAGCUCCUCCCAGAACCGACCGAUUUCCAAAUGAUGGAGAGAAUGGAGGCUGUCUAAACUUGGAAGACUCUCUAAAUUCGGGAUGUCUCUUAUUGUCAGCGCCUCAAACGAGAGUGGGAAUUGCAGGCUUGAAAAUUAUCUUGAGUAAUUGAAGAUUCUUUUACCUAAUUUUUGCAAUAACAGGGUAUUUGACAUUUCAUCAAGUUAGUCAAGGGAUAUGAAAUAGAGAUAAAUAAAUCAACCAAAUUCAAAUCACUGUUUAUACGAUUUGAACACUGUUCAUAAAUCACAAGUCGGUCGUACCCAGUGCACAAGGCUCCCGCUUUACGCAUGGUCUGGGAGAGGUGAAUGUCGGCUAGCCUUACCCCCAUUUAUGGAGAGGCUGCUCCCAAGUCUCGAACCCGAGACCUACCGCUCAUGGGCGAAGGCACUUGCCAUCGCACCACUUGUUCAUAAAUCACAAGUAACCAUAAAAAUAUCAGUCCAAAAUCUUCAUAAGGAUAACAAUAACAAACAGAAAGUAAUUGCAGUAGUUCUAAAUAUUAUAUGAACAUGGUUUUACAUGAUGACAAUUCUUGGCAUUACUCAUCUAACACUACUUGGGUGCUGGCAGUGUGUGAUUAAACAAGAUUCAAUACCAUGAUGGGUGAUCAAGCUAGUGGUUCAGCACUCCACUCAUACAGAUGAACUAAAGAAAGUUAAAAUAUUGAUUGAUGUUGCCGGCAUUAAGAAAGAUAACAUGUAAAGGAGAAUGCCCAAGGACUAUAAAAAGAGGUAUAUUAUUGAGAAAUGAAGGUAGAGCGAGAGAAUUAAUAUUGUGUGCAUCAGUACCUGGAGUCAGUUUAUAGCUAUUGAGCAUCAUGAAAAACGCCACAGCAUAGCAAAAGAAAUAUAGAUGGCACUGGGAAACACACAACAUAUAUAGUAAGUCAGAAGUCAACAGUAGAAUGUAUUGAUCAAUUAGAAGUAGAAGAGAAGAGGAGAUGUGGGUUUGAAAAUCUUACAUGACUUAAUUUCAAUGCAAAAGUUUGAGCCAUUUGGAGUCGUUUGUACAUAAAACUGGAAUACAAGUAAUCUCGGAGAACUGUGGCCUUGCACAUCAUGAAAUUUGAUUUUCCCAAUACACAUUUGUUGUAGUAUCGCAAGGCAUUGCAUAGCUUCAAUCCAACUGUUGUCUCAGAAGUCUCAGCCCCAAACUGAUUUAAAAGAAGAGGGAGAAGGACAAACAAAUUAUGUUAUACUAGUUUAAAUUUGAGUGUAGUACUAGUGGAGACAUGGAAUAAAAGAAGCAAAGAGAUAAACAUAUAACGUCAGCUUUGUUAUUUGAUUUCAAUAAUUUAAAAACUUACUGUCGAUUUUUGGAAUGUGAGAAAUCUUAGGCCAAUCUGUGUCGUUGUCCCUGCUGCAUCUUUCUUCUAAAAGGGGAUGACAAAUCCAAAUCUCUAGGAAUUGUAAUUUGAUCAGACCACAACUGAUCAUUUAAAAGAAAAGGGAGAAGGAUAAACAAAUUACGUUAUACUAGUUUAAAUUUCAGUGUAGUACUAGUGGAGACACGGAAGAAAAGAACAAAGGAUAUAAACAUAUAACGUCAGCUCUGUUACUUGAUUUCAAUAAUUUAAAAAACUUACUUGUGAUAUCUGGAAUGUGAGAAAUCUUAGGCCAAUCUGUGCCGCUGUUCCUCAUGCAUCUUUGCUUUAGAAGAGGAUGGCAUCCAGAAAUAUACAGAGUUUGUAAUUUGGUGAGGCGUUGCAUAGCUUGGAAUCUUGGUAAAUUCCUCAGAUUCUCGCAAGACCAAAUCGUCAGCUCUGUAAGGAAUGUAAGGCUACCCAACCAUUCUGGCAAAGUCUCCACUCCGUCAAAUGAACAUAUCUCCAAAUGUGUUAGAGAAGUGAGGUGUUGAAUUUGUUGAGGCAGAGACUUGAGCUUAGGCCAACCCCACAACACUAAACUUGUAAGAUUCAUUAAUGAUGCAACUUGAAAAUCAGGAAAGGAAUCGAGCUCCUCCCAAAAUCCACCGAUAUCCAAAUGACGGAGAGAAUUAAGGCCGUCUAAACUUGGAAGAAUCUUUAAAUUAAGGAUACUGACUAUUGCCAGCGUCUCAAGAGAGAGUGGGAAUUGCAGGCUGCUCACCCAACUUUCUAAUCUUUCACAUCUUUCAAUCCACAUAAGUCGAAGGGAGGUCAUGAUGCGCAAAUCUGAAGUAGAUUGUAGACUAACUCCUCCUUCCCAACUCUGCUACUUUUGACACCAAACGAUGAUAGCUUUGGGCAUCCUCUUAUCCACAAUUCCUGAAGAGAUGGACAUUGUUGUGGAAGAACAGGUAUGCUUAUACUAGUUGUCUUAGAAGACUCAUUCCCAAACUGAUUUAAAAGAAGAGGGAGAAGGAUAAACAAAUUAUGUUAUAUUAAUUUAAAUUUGAGUGUAGUACUAGUGGAGACAUGGAAUAAAAGAAGAAAAGGGAUAAACAUAUGACAUCACCUCUGUAAUUUGAUUUCAAUAAUUUAAAAACUUACUUCUGAUAUCUGGAAUGUGAGAAAUCUUGCAUAGCUUCAAUCCAACUGUUGUCUCAGAAGAAGUCUCCUUCCCCAACUGAUUUAAAAGAAAAGGGAGAAGGAUAAACAAAUUAUGUUAUACUAGUUUAAAUUUGAGUGUAGCACCAGUGGAGACACGGAAUAAAAGAACAAAAGAGAUAAAUAUAUAACGUCACCUCUGUAAUUUGAUUUCAAUAAUUUAAAAAACUUACUUGUGAUAUCUGGAAUGUGAGAAAUCUUAGGCCAAUCUGUGCCGAUGUACCUGGUGCAUCUUUCCUCUAAAAGGGGAUGACAUCCAGAAAUCCAUGGUUUUUGUAAUUUGGUGAGGCGUUGCAUAGCUUGGACACUUGGUAAAUUCAUCAGAUUCAUCAAGUUACUCUAGCAAUAUCAACUACAGACACAAAAUCAAUAGUAUUCAAAUCACUCUGCAUACAAUUCAGAUAUUUCAAGUAGCCCCAAAACUAUCAGUCCAAAAUCUUCAUAAGAAAGCAAUUACAGCAGUUCUAUUUAUUAUAUCAACAUCAUUAUCCUGAAAACAAGUCUUGAGAUAAUAUAGAGUUAUAGACAAAUUUCCUCAUUGUGCAGGAAUCAAUGAAAUACGCAAACUGUAAGAGAUCAAAGAAACAAAUGUGGUAAAUCCACCACUACUAUUGUGAUCAGGAUAAAAAGUCAUUAGCAUGCAAUGGAUGAAAGGAUGAAACAAUAUCUUAAACAACAAACAACACAUUUCUGGAAAAAAAAAAAAAAACAAUAUCUUAUGCAUCAGUACCUGGAUUCUGUUUGCACCUACUGCACUACAUCGUUCCAGUUGCGUAGUUUCAAUCCAAGUAUUGUCUCAGACCUCAACUGAUCAUUUAAAAGAAAAGGGAGAAGGAUAAACAAAUUAUGUUAUACUAGUUUAAAUUUGAGUGUAGUACUAGUGGAGACACGAAAUAA